UUACACACACUAAUCAAAAUUAUGUCAUAAAACGUAUAAUUCGAGCUAUUCGUUUAAUUGGAGUUAUCUAUAUUGAAAACCAUUAACAUUUGUUGACAUGCAAUAUGAGUAGUGUCAAGGUUGCAGUUUCUUAACUGCAGUAUACCGAUGUCGGACUGCUCAGUCGUAUAAUACAUUGUUGUCGAUGGUGGACAGAGCACAAGGAUCGCGUUGAUGCUGCGCCGGUGGGCUGCGGGCUGCGGGCGGCGGGCGGCGGAGGGCGGCGAUGCUAUCGAGGGUCAGCGGGGUGACGAGAUAGUGAGCGCGCGGCCGCGGCCGUCUCGCCGCAGUGGAUCACUCUGUUUUGUAUAUACAAUAUCCAACACAGACAGGCCGCUAUCAGACCGUAAUAAGACCGAGGAUGUCGCGACGAAAACACUUUCAACAAAUUAGAUUCAGAGACGCAUUUGUGUAGCUCGGAGCUCAAUUUAGCCAUUGACAGAGCGAUGUUAUAAAAGCCCUCCAGACGAGGUCUCUAUUGAGAUUGAUCAGACUCGAGGAAGUGAUCUCUCGAGAGGCCCACAAUCUGUCGUGCUCCCCCUCGCCCCUCGCCUCUCGCCGCCCCCAAGCGGCGGUGUUCUACACCAUACAAUACAUUUAAUGACGCACUACGCAUCAGGUAGAAGCUUCACUUGGUAUAAACAUGACGCGCAGGGCGCACUCGGAUUUAAGUUUUACACAAAGUGUCAAAUUGUAAAUAUCUUCUCAAUAGGCGACUAUGGCCACAUUAGCAACUCAACCGUUGCUUAAAUUAUGUCGAUAGUUUAUUAAUUAACAGAACCAGUGUCAUUCAUUUGCACUCGAUUGUUGCGCAUCGCAUAUGCAGCAUGUGUUUAAAUAAUUAUUUACAUAUUAUAAAUUGUAUCCGGACAUGUAUUUGUGAAGCGACACACGACUUUACAUUUAAUUAGCUACGAUGACUUGGGGCGACCUGACUCGCGCACAUAAUGGCUUACCGCUUCCACUGCCUCUUGUUAUUUAUGUCUUUCAGGUAUUAAUGUAAGCAGAAUUUUUCGCUAGAUUUAUUUAGUUCUCUUAGCAUUUCCUGAAGUGUUUACAAAAAGAACUAUGUCUUAUUUUGGUUUAUUCCUUUGCUGUUCCAUUUUUGAUCACUCAUUAUAUUCUGUAGGAUAGCUAUGUAGAUUAUGUUGAAGUAUAUUACAAUAAAAAUAUAGUAAAUGUAAAUCAGUCGAAAUGUUUAUCAAAGAUUACAUGCCUAGCUUUCAAGGGGCAAAGCGCGGGGCAUUCGAGACGCAGAGUGCACUGCUACAACCCCCGCAGCGUUCAAAGGGUUAAGUUAUUUAGUGCGUUGAAGCUUGAAGCGCGUGCAGAAGAGCCGGCGGGCACAAGCAGCCGUGCGCACUGCACACGUCGCUGCUGCUGUGAGAUUAACUUUUACUUUAACGUUUAAGUUAACGCAUAUUUAACUUUGACGUGCAUCAAUGAACAAACCAAAACGACUGGUGUACUUCGCCAGGCGCGCGCGUGUCGGAGGAAAGGUUAUAAAGUUUAUAUUUAGAAGAGCACCGACUCAGUAGAUCGAUAUGUCUACCGAAUGCGAUACGGAAGUUCACAUUGGUUCAUUUGCUUGCAUAAGAAAAAAAUAUGAGACAGUGGAAUUAAAUGAUAUAGCUGAUUUCCUAUAACGUACGCGCAUACAACCUCUAACAUCUAGGCAGCAGGCGGCAGAGAGCGGGGGCGAGGGCGGGGGCGGUAGGUCCGGGUUCGGAAGGACCGGUUGGAGCCCGAGUCCACAAAAAAAGCCCGGCUCGUCCGGCGGCGGCGGCCGACGGGCUGCGGGUGCGAGCCGGUGUUUACGUCUAAUUAGCUGCAACCGGCUCAGAGUCUAGGGUGGCCGGCGCUCUAACAAAAUGAAGCAUUUUGUGGGAGGGGGAGGCAGCGACCACACGAGCCACCAGAGCGCACGGUGCGGGGGCUGGGGGGCGGCGCACGCGGCUCGUGUUGCAGACAUUCGAUACCGUCAAGCUUCGUUUUGCACAACGUGUCCAGGUAUCUACAUGGUAAACCAGCGCGACUAAAUUCUUGUAGUUUUAUGUAUCCGCGCUAUAAAAUUGUCACUUAUAAUCAUUUUAAUUCAAGGUACUCAAAACUUCCAUACUUACCACUGUAACAGAGCCAAUUGAUGGCUGGACUAUUAUUAAAGAAAACGAACUGUGUAUUGUUUGAAAUAAAUUGGUCGCCCUAGA
Papilio polytes (common Mormon) is the source of this 2246-nucleotide long non-coding RNA. RefSeq lists it as uncharacterized. The transcript has 3 exons. NCBI's taxonomy places the organism in Eukaryota, Metazoa, Arthropoda, Insecta, Lepidoptera, Papilionidae. The record is from RefSeq and is a predicted model, not a curated record.